RNAcentral lists this ribosomal RNA (206 nucleotides) under uncultured bacterium. RNAcentral's name for it is "partial 16S ribosomal RNA". It matches the Rfam family "Bacterial small subunit ribosomal RNA", at positions 568 to 774 of the family's 1533-position model. The record is from RNAcentral.
CGCGUAGGCGGCCCUCUAAGUCAGACGUGAAAUCCCCCGGCUUAACCUGGGAACUGCGUCUGAUACUGGAGGGCUUGAGUAUGGGAGAGGGAUGUAGAAUUCCAGGUGUAGCGGUGAAAUGCGUAGAUAUCUGGAGGAAUACCGGUGGCGAAGGCGGCAUCCUGGACCAUUACUGACGCUGAGGCGCGAAAGCUAGGGAGCAAACG